This is a long non-coding RNA of Nomia melanderi (Alkali bee), 3364 nucleotides long. RefSeq lists it as uncharacterized. The record is from RefSeq and is a predicted model, not a curated record. Lineage: Eukaryota; Metazoa; Arthropoda; Insecta; Hymenoptera; Halictidae.
UUACGCGAAGAAGACCGUGAAAGGAUCGUUGCGUCGGCUCAGUUGAACCCGAACGCUCGACACGCGAGGCGUUGUAAUUAUUUUCGAACGUCGGCGAAAAACACACGAGUUAAUUAACGACCACCGUGUCGUUUCAACGAAUAACGUGACACCCUAGUAAGUGUCCAUUGAUAAACAUGAUUAUUCGGUUAACUACUAAAGAACAGUUUCAAGAGCUUCGCGAAUAUCAAUAGCUUAGACUGCGGAAACUCAUGCAAAAUUGAUUGGAGGAUUUUUUCUGGCAAGAGGAAAGUUCACGGACAGUCACGCGAUCAUCGCGUAACGCUGAUACAUAAUAUUGCUCACGAGAGUCGUUUAAUCGUUGCGAAAUGAUGCGAAGAAAAAAAGCGAAUUACAACUGUACAUGACGCAACGAGAUUUCCCUUUCAUUAAGGAAUCUACUCCACUUGACAUUGACAGCGGAGACAACUGAUCGACAGGCACUUUACACGAUUUUCGAAUUGCAAUAAAUACAUAAUUUAGAAUACUUUUGUUUACCGUUGUUUAUGUGAAUUUUAAGCGUCGGUGUUUCUUCUGAAAGGUGAAGACAUAGCGCACGAAACGAAAAUAAAAGAAAUACGUCGUGCUUUCUUUUAUGUAAAUGAAUAAACAAAGAUAUAAUUAUUAGGUCGUGUAUUAUGAAAUGUUAGAUAUUUUAUGGGAAAAAGGAAACCUUAUUUGAUGUUUUAAAUGACAUUUAUUUGAUCAAAAUAUAUACCAUUCGAUUCGAUACACUUCUGCCAACGUGUUUUUAAUGAACAUAUUCAAUUUCUCGCAAAAUUCUGCGGCUCAUUUUGCGAAUAAAUACCACCGAAACGAAAUUUUGCUGCAUUGUUCUUUCAUUCACGGUUUUGUCCACAAAUGCUUUGUUUAUAUUUUGGACCGGUUUUGCAGCAUUAUUUCCACGUUUGAAUUCACAUAAGACAAUUACACGAACUUUGCCGGUAUCCAUGUUUUCGAGAAACGACGCAGGAAAUAGUUAUUAUGCACAGUUCGGAAAAACUUUUCUGCAGAAAGUUACUCUGAACAAAAAUAAAGGAAUAAAAACAGGAGUACAAAGAUUUACGUAUUAAAAGAUCCGACAUUUCAUAUUGCACGAUCCAAUACAUGUAAUAACAUAAAAGAAAAAUCAAUAAUUUUUCUCCGCGGAAAUAUUCAAUUCGCAUUUAGAACAAGUUUUUGCGCUUGUUGUUUUGCAUCUUGCUGGCGAGUAGUCGGCACAAUGGCCCCAUUGGUGAGACGUUAGAUACGAAUUAGUAGAAUCAUCCGAUGCAAGAUACUGGAUAAUAUGGUCUGACCGCGUCACAUUGAAAACAUCAGAAUUUAUUUAUGUAAAUCGAGAACCAAUGACGCAACUCACGUGUGCAACCGUGACCACGGAAACGUGUAAAGAUUUUUACACUGCAUAUUCAUUACGUACUUCCAGUUAAAACGUACAUCAACGAUUUUAAUAAAACAUCGUUGCUGGCGUGUAUUACACAUUAGUGUAAAUACCGAGGGCAGCAUCGAAUGUUCCGAUAAUUAUAUUUAAUCACUGAACCUUCGCGUAACUCAUAUAAUUUCCUUACUUUCGUAUUCGUCGGAGAACUUUUUACCGGGUCGUAAAGAGGUUAUUAAGUAUUAGGUUACGUACGUUUACCGAUCGUCCGAUUGACCUAAACAUUUGUAAAUCUACAGUAUACAGCGGAUUUCUGUCGCUGUUACGAGUGUACUCAUUUGCUUUUUUAAACGAGUUCCCUUGUUUUUGCUCGUUUCGCUUGAAACUCGUAUAUUACGUCGAGAUCAGGAGACCAAAUUCCUGAAUUUUAUUUUUUCUUUCAAAUAUCCGAGUGUCUCGAAGAAUCGCGGCUAAUCGAAGUACACUGAAGUAGAACCGUUGCAAAAAGAGAUAAUAACGGUGGACAAUUCGAUCUACAACUGUAACAUGUGAUUCCAUUACUUUGAGAAGCCGAGGUUAAUUUUCCGACGAUUUUUAUUCCACUUUAUUUGCAAGAUAACGCGAUAACGUUGAUUGAUUUAUUGAACUGUAAUUAACAUUUAUAUUGGGCAAGUGUAAAUCACCACCUACUCGAAAUCUCUAUUUGCCAAUGGUACUUAUGAUAAAAAUAUGGGUUAAUUACACUUUUGGCGUUUGUUAUCGCCAAUGUGACUUAUUGAACGUGUUAGUGCAAUAAAUGAAAUUGCAUUAUUAUAAGCAGAAUAUAGAGAAACCUAUAACGGAAACAGUUGAGAAUUCGUAUCGCUUUUUAAUCGAAUAUUGUAUGGUACACACAAUAAAAAUUGUUUUUUUCAGAAUUUCAUUCGAGGGAAGCCGAUAUUUAGCAAAACAUAGACAUUACAUUAAGAAAAUCGAGUUUCUUGUAACUUUUUGUAAGAAACUAUAGAAUAUUUGGAAAACCUGAUACAUUAUAACCUCACAUUUUUUUACUGUGUUUCUAGUUUGCCGAUCAUACACAUUCUGAAACUUUUAACGUUAUAUUUAUUGUUUAUUAUUCGCUGAAUAAUAUGCAAUUACAACUGGUCGUAAGAUCGAUUUCCUUACCAAUGAACUAUUAUUAGUAUUAUUUGGAGAAAAAAUCGUGCCCUUCGCUAACACACUCUAGCGGUGGGCCCACCAUGUUUGAAACAAGCGUCUGCUUCUGCGAAGCCACGAGCCAGUCGUCACGACAAUAUAGAAGUAAACACAGCUAGCCUUGAAAUAACACGAGGUUUAUCUAAAACGACCAAUUCGUCGUUUCCAACGCGAUUUCGAAUAGGCCUGAUAAAGGGUUCUGCUGAUAUGGGAACAGAUAACGAAAGUCGUAUAUUUCAUCUUCCGCAAUAAUUCAACCUUCAGAGAGUCCAACCGAUUUCCUACGCAUGUGGACGAACGAUUUCCUAAUUCAUUAAUCGAACGGUUCUUUUAUAAAUGGUAUUAAAAACAAUUCAUAUUAUAAUAGGAAUAUUACAACAAAACGAGAUCGGAGAAUUCUCUAGUAAAGGGAUAAGAAAAAGUAGAAUAAUCACAGGAUAUAGAAAAUAUAUAUAUACCGUCUUCGAAGAACGUUUUAGAAUUAUAAUAUUCAGAGAUGUUAAUUGCGAAUCGUAUACACACACUGGAUCAUUAUGAAUAUAAUGGAUUAUCAUCAUCGACGUACAAAGCGUGCGUAUGUAUAUAUAUAUACAUGUGUACAUGUAAUAGCAGUAGAGAAAGUGUGAUAUAAUCUUUAAUCACAAUCCACGUGGCUAACCUUCGUAUAUAAGGUAUCAAGUUUAUCAUGCGCGGCAUCGUUUAUUUAAGACCCACGAGUCAAAUUAUUCCAUCGGCCGAAAAAAAUAUGGUAAG